This 783-nucleotide ribosomal RNA is filed under the name uncultured Neocallimastigales. RNAcentral's name for it is "partial large subunit ribosomal RNA". It matches the Rfam family "Eukaryotic large subunit ribosomal RNA", at positions 22 to 646 of the family's 3401-position model. Lineage: Eukaryota; Fungi; Neocallimastigomycota; Neocallimastigomycetes; Neocallimastigales. The record is from RNAcentral.
GUACACGCUGUGACUAGCAUAUCAAUAAGCGGAGGAAAAGAAACUAACAAGGAUUCCCUUAGUAACGGCGAUGUGAAGCGGGAAGAGCUCAAAUUUGAAAUCUUCAAGGUUUUACCUUGACGAAUUGUAGUUUAAAGAAGUGUUUUCUGUCUGAAGUUUUGGUAAAAGUUCUUUGGAAUAGGACAUCAUAGAGGGUGAGAAUCCCGUAUUUGACCAUUAUUUUCAGCUGUGUGAUACACUUUCAAAGAGUCGGAUUGUUUGGGAAUGCAGUCCAAAAUGGGUGGUAAAUUUCAUCUAAAGCUAAAUAUUGGCGAGAGACCGAUAGCGAACAAGUACCGUGAGGGAAAGAUGAAAAGAACUUUGAAAAGAGAGUUAAACAGUACGUGAAAUUGUCAAAAGGGAAGCGUUUGACACCAGUGUUGUUUUCUCGAAAAUCAAUUAAAAAUGAGCUCGGAUUUUGUAGUUGCUGAUGACCUUAAAAGCUUCACUGUACAUUUUUCCUGUCUUUUUUAAUGCACUUUUCGUUUAACAAGUCAACAUCAGUUUCUUUUGUUGUAAAAGGGUCAUUGGAAGGUGGCUUUCUUUUCGGAGAAAGUGUUUAUAGCCUUUGAUCUCUGCAAUCGGAGAGACUGAGGUCUGCAGCGUAGAUCCUUCGGGGUUAGAUACAUUUGUGCUAAGUUAUAACUUUUCAUAGACAACUUGUUGACUAUAGUUUAGUCAUUGUAGCUUACUCGCUUAUGCUAUUUUACCUACGCUUAGGAUGUUGACGCAUGAGAUAUACGC